This 383-nucleotide ribosomal RNA is filed under the name uncultured eukaryote. Its description in RNAcentral is "SSU rRNA". It matches the Rfam family "Eukaryotic small subunit ribosomal RNA", at positions 587 to 972 of the family's 1831-position model. The record is from RNAcentral.
AGCUCCAAUAGCGUAUAUUAAUGUUGUUGCAGUUAAAAGCUCGUAGUUGGAUAUCUGGCUUUGCACGGACGGCCCGCCUUCGGGUUGAGUGCUGGAAGUGCUAGCCUAUUUUCUGGUUGGCGUGCUUUCCCUUUAUUGUGGCGAGUAUCGCGAUCCGGAUCGUUUACUUUGAAGAAAUUCGAGUGUUCAAAGCAGGCUUACGCCGUGAAGAUUGCAGCAUGGAAUAAUGACAUAGGACUAUCGUGUUCUAUUUUGUUGGUUCUGGGACCGUAGUAAUGAUUGAUAGGGACAGUUGGGGGUGCUGCUAUUCCGCGGCCAGAGGUGAAAUUCUCAGAUUCCCGGAAGAGCAACUUAUGCGAAAGCAUUCACCAAGGAUGUCUUCU